This 477-nucleotide ribosomal RNA is filed under the name uncultured bacterium. RNAcentral's name for it is "partial 16S ribosomal RNA". It matches the Rfam family "Bacterial small subunit ribosomal RNA", at positions 28 to 506 of the family's 1533-position model. The record is from RNAcentral.
GAUGAACGCUGGCGGCGUGCUUAACACAUGCAAGUCGAACGGGAAACCUUUUAUUGAAGCUUCGGCAGAUUUAGCUGGUCUCUAGUGGCGGACGGGUGAGUAACGCGUGGGUAACCUGCCUUAUACAGGGGGAUAACAACCAGAAAUGGUUGCUAAUACCGCAUAAGCGCACAGGACCGCAUGGUCCGGUGUGAAAAACUCCGGUGGUAUAAGAUGGACCCGCGUUGGAUUAGCUAGUUGGCAGGGUAACGGCCUACCAAGGCGACGAUCCAUAGCCGGCCUGAGAGGGUGAACGGCCACAUUGGGACUGAGACACGGCCCAGACUCCUACGGGAGGCAGCAGUGGGGAAUAUUGCACAAUGGGGGAAACCCUGAUGCAGCGACGCCGCGGGAAGGAAGAAGUAUCUCGGUAUGUAAACUUCUAUCAGCAGGGAAGAUAGUGACGGUACCUGACUAAGAAGCCCCGGCUAACUACGU